AUCUGUAAAAAAAACAAAAUAAAACAAACAAACAAACAAACGCCCGAGUAUAUAAAGUUGGGAGCUCAGGAGGCAGAGGCAGGCAGAUUUCUGAGUUUGAGGCCAGCCUGGUCUACAAAGUGAGUUCUAGGACAGCCAGGGCUAUACAAAGAAACCCUGUCUCGAAAAAAAAUACAAACAAAAAUAAUAAUAAAUAAGAUAAAUAAAAAAUAGAUAAAAAAAUAAAGUUGGGAGAAGAAAGAGGAGUAUGGGGAAAGUUUGAGGAAAUGGAGUGGGCAUGGAUUUGAUCCAAACACAUUAUUUUCAUGAAUAAAGUUCUCAAACAGCAUCUUAGGGUUUCUAUUGCUAUGACAAAAAACACCCUGACCUAAAAGCAAGUUGGGAAAGAAAGGAUUUAUUGAGUGUACACUUCUAGAUCAUAGUCCAUCAUCAGAGGAAGUUAGGACAGGAAUUCAAGCAGGGCUGGAACUUGGAGGAGUUGAUUCAGAGGCCAUGGAGGGGUACUGCUUACUAGCUUGCUUUCCAUGGCUGGCUCAGCCUGCUUUCUUAUAGCAGCCAGAGCCACCAGCCCAGGGAUGAUACCACCCACAGUGGGCCGGGUCCUUCUCCAUUGAUCACUUAUUGAGAAAAUGCCUUACAACUAGAUCUCAUGGUAGCAUUUCCUCAAAUGAGGCUCCUUCCUCUCUGAUGACUGUAACUGGUAUCAAGUUGCCAUACAAAAUGAGGCAGUACAAGUGACCCCUUGUGAACUUGACACACAAACAUAUCAAUAUUAAACUUCAACCCUUCCUUUCAUAUUUAUCACCAAGAUUUCACAUUAAAAACAUAAAUAAUUUUAAAAGUUCCAUAGUUGUUACAAGUUAAAACACAUUAAAAUUCCAGACUCUUUAAAAUAUCCGAUCUCUUUUCAAAGUUCAAAAUCCCAAAACUCUUUUAGAAUUUCAAUGUCUUUCAGCUGUGGGCUCCUGUAAAAAUUAACUUAAAUAUCUUCUUCUUUGGGGAAGAACCAGGACACAGUCACAAUCUAAACCAAACAAAACUAAAUUCCAAGAGUAUAAAUAAUUCAAAGUUCAAUGUCUGGGAUCCACACACUAUCUUCUGGGCUCUUCCAAAGGACUUGGGUCACUUCUCCACCUUCCCUUCAUAGGGAGUUAUUUGGGCUCACUUUCUUAGUGCUUUCUAGAAUGCUGGCAUGUCUGUGCCAUUCAGCAAAUUCUCCACAAAGCUUUCCUUCUUCCUCAAAUUUGAUUUAUUUUUAUUUCAUGUGCAUUGGAGUUUUGCCUGUGUGUAUGUCUGUGUGAGGGUGUCAGAUGCCCUAGAGCUGGAAUUAUAGACAGUUGUGAUCGGCCAUGUGGCUGUUAGGAACCCACAGGUCCUCUGGAUGAGCAGCAGCCAGUACUCUUAACUACUAAGCCAUCUCUCCAGCCGCACAUUUUUCUAUCUUACUAAGAUAAGUGUAUACAACACAAAAUAAAGCACAUAGCUUUCCCUAAACCACUCUUGGUAGAUUUUCCUAAGCAGAAACAUCAUUAGGUUACUACAGAUGCAGCCUGUCUGCUGCAGAUGUUUAGAACAUCUCAGGCAGAUUAGGGAUGUUAGUGCUUUCACUGUGUAUCCUUGUUACUCUCUGCCGUUACUCUCGCUACUAUCGAAGUAUGUUUUAGACAGCUUUAUGAAGUAAGCUCUGUUUGAGAGAGCCUGAGUCUUCCUGUGGCACGCUCCCAGCCCCCAACUCCCAGCUCCUAUCUCCAACCCCCAGCUCCCAGCCCCCAACUCCCAGCUCCUAUCUCCAACCCCCAGCUCCCAGCCCCCAAACCCCAGUCCCCAGCUCCUAUCCCCUAACCCCCAGUCUCCAGCCCCCAGCUCCUAUCCCCCAACCCCCAGCUCCCAGCCCCUAACCCCCAGCACCCAGCUCCUAUCCCCUAGCUCCCAACCCCCAGCUCCCAGAUCUCAGUGUCCUUUCAACCCUCAUUUAUCUCCAGCACUCAGCUCUCAGCAUUCCUUAUUCUUUACAAAGAAUCAUAGCUUUAGUGUUGUAGAGCAAGGGUCAUAAAUUCCAUCAAGCACACAUAGGCUCCAAAUUAAUAACAUUACACUAGGUGUGUGAGUAAUUCCAACCUUUCUACACAGGAAGCAGAUAAGCUCUGUUCCUCCCCACCAAGAGUGACACGGUGUUCAGCAGGACCUGUUAACCUUUUGCCAUGCUUCCAACUCUGAGUGUCAGCGUUCCUGCUUUUCAUCUGGAAGGACAUCCAGCUUUACUUCUUCCCAAGAUUAGACUGUCCCCUGGAAACACCACAUCGAAGACCUCUAAGUUGAGAGUUAAACUAUUUUAUUCUUUUUUGUUUUUGUUUUUUGUUUUGUAUUUUUCGAGACAGGGUUUCUAUGUAUAGCCCUGGCUGUCCUGGAGCUCACUCUGUAGACCAGCUGGCCUCGAACUCAGAAAUCUGCCUGCCUCUGCCUCCCAAGUGCUGGGACUAAAGGCGUGCACCACCACGCCCGGCUAUGAGACGUUUUCUUAUGGAAGAAAUGCUGCCUCUGUUUUUCUAUCACUGUUUCUCACUUUGGAAGGGGACCGAAAGUAGAAGCUGGUUUCAUUACGUUCCAUUACGUACUCUAAGCACAGAACUAUUUCGGUGAUUUACUGAACCUUCCUGAGAGUCCCAAGAGGAGUUUACAACCAUUGUGCCAGUCAGGUUUAUAGGUCACUUCGCUGAGGUAUCCAACUGACUCAGAACAAAGCUCAUAUUUGCUUUGCUGGUGAUGUAAUUUUUUACUGAGUUUUUAAAAUUCUUCUGCACCUCAACUGCGGCUUCACCUCUCUCUUUCCUCUCCUCCUGUUCUUCCCCCACCCACCUCCAUUUCCUCUUGAUCUACACAUCUGGUAAAAAAAAAAAAAAGCCUCCCGGAUGGACAAGCUAAUCUCCUCUGUUCCUUCAGAUUCUUCAGAGAACACAGACUCUACUCUUUUAGUUAUUCUUUCCCAGGUGUCCUCAGCUUUAUUGCAAGUCUAAAGUAUAGUUUAUUAUUACAGUAUUUGUCAUCGACAGGAAACAGGACCAUUGACACACACAGUACUGCAGACGCCUUAGUCAUAGACACACAUUUUCCUCCAUUCAUCUCAGCAAUGAUCCCUGGAACUUUUACUUAAGUAGAACUUUUAUUUAUUUAUUUAUUUAUUUAUUUAUUUAUUUAGCUUGUUUUUUUGUUGUUGAUUGUUUUUAAAGUUUAGCUUUUUACUUUUUUUUAAACUUUUACUUAAGGGGGGAAAAAAGCCUUUUUUUCCCCUUUUACAAAAACUGACACACCUUCUAUUGAAGUGCUAGAUAUUAUUUCUUGACAAUUUCACUAAAUAUUUACUUAAUUUUCUAUUGUUUUACAAAAAUAACAACAAAACAAAACUAAAAUAAGCAAGCAAACAAAACAAAACAAAAAACGCAAAAUCCAAAAAGCAAACAACAAUUCCUUACUGAAAUUAACUAUAUGUAAGACCAAAGUGUUCGGUGUUGGAUAGGGUCAGAUUGAAAAUACAAAACAAAAAUCAACAAAACCCAGUUCUGUGUCAGAGCCUGCCCAGAAUCAGCUCAGGCUCGCACAGGUGGAUGAGAGUAGAGGUGGAGGGGGUCUAUACCCAAUAGAACAUGGUAGUUCCCACAAUCAGCUCAUCAUUGUAUUCUAUUGGCAUGAAAAGACUGGAGAUGCUAAUGUAGACUGUACUGAUGUGACGAAAAUGUGAGAAGCUUCGAAAUGGAAACCCUGUCAUCGUUAACCCGUGACGAGUGUUUGGAUAGGAGAGAAAAUGUGAAGGCACUAAAUAGUAUAAAAAAUUAUCCACAUUUGUGAGAUCAAUGGCCUUGAGCAUGUUUGAAUUUGAGUAAAGCAAGUCAGGCUGCAUGUGUUCAAAAAUCCAGAUGUCGUUUGGGUUUUGAAAUUAAAUUUGAAAGUUUAAUAUUAUGAUUUCGAUUCUUUGGCUUGAAGGCCACGAUGUCCCUCCAUUUUUAGACAAUAGAUCUGCAAAUUCUGGUUAUGCUUUUGCAGUUAUAUAGAAAUGUAUGAAGCAUAGCAAUCGAUAUCUGAAUCAUACAUAGUGAUUGUGUAUUGUGUGUGUGUGUGUGUGUGUGUGUGUGCAUGUGUAUGUAAAUUAUAUAGAGGCCCGAAGUCUGGUCCUAAAUUGUUCUCUUCCUUAUUUUGUAAGACAGAGUCCCCCACUGACCUUGGAGUUCACCCAACCAGGCUAGAUUGGCUGGCCAGCGAGCCUGAGAGAUCCUCUUGCCUGCCUCUCUAUCACUGGGAUGACAGGUGUGUACUGUCAUCUGGCUUUUUAUAUAGAUGCCUAUGAUCUGAACCUGGGUCUACAUGCUUUCAUAACAAGCAGUUUUCUGCCUGACUGAGCCAUCACCCCAGCAACAGGGUAGUGAUUUUAGAUACUUCCUCAGCCCCAGCAUCCACACCCAUUUGCUAGGUGGACGAUUGAAAUACUCUAUUCAACAGAGAUUUGCAGGUUGGCUUUCUCUAGAGGCUUCAACCAGACACAAAACAGUAAGUGGUGUGCCUUUGAAAGGUUGAUGUUGGUCCUGGCCCCAACUAGCUCACUAGCUGGGAUCGUUUCCACCUACCAAAGUUGGAUCUACCCUUGCUGCCCGAGAGGGUAGACAACCCACCCAAAAGCUCUAUUUCAAAAGGCACAGAAAAUACUUAUCUUAUUUGAGUACUUUUCUAGUCACUGAAUUUUCCAAGGUCUGUUAACUGAAGGAUAAAAUGCAGGCAUGACUGGCUGUCAGCCUACCUGGCACUCUGUGCUUCUAAAUUAGGAGCAUGGCACACCAUGCUCCUGAGAAUUCCCAGAAGUCAGAACACUGAAUUCUGAGGUGACAUGAAUAACCUGCAGCUGGAUUGUCUUCAUGGCUCCUUCCUUGUGCUCCUUUUGCAUAGAGACCCUGGUGACAAGAGAGCUCACUGUCCAAUCUGAGGUAGUGUGUUAACCAAUAACAAUUAAUUGAUAGUUUUCUGCUAUAUAAGUGGUUGUUUGCAUAAAAUAAGGCAGACAGUGUUCCCUAACCAUCUCCAGAGAGGUUAAUCUCUGUGCUCUUUACCAACCCUGUGGGCAUGGUAGUCUUGUUAGGAGAUGCCCUGGUGACUGUUGUGGUUAGAAACGGAUAAAGAGGUAUUAAGAUAUGUUCUCUGGGGGGUGUGGUGACAACGACAGUUAACAUUUCUGUAAUCUUUGUUUUAAUAUUUGACAACUUUACUCUUUUUAAAUAUCCGUAUUAAGACCAUAAGAUCCAUAAAAUAUUUUUAAAGUUAACAACCAAGCUUGAUCAUUUAAUAAAAAUGUUACACUCCAAAUGUUCUGAGUGGUUGGAACUUAAUUUCUUAAUUGUAACAGCAAAACGCCUACUGAGAGAGGAGACAUGGCAGAAGACACUUUGUAGCAAUGUGAACCGGUGCUUGCAAGUCUGGUCAAACUAGAAGUUGUAGCUGAGUCCAGCUGUUUCUCCGAAAGCACAGGAUCAAGUGCUGUGUUAGCACAGAUACAAAAGUCUGAAAAACUGUUUACAGAACUUCCCCGUGUGAGUUUGGUUUGCAAGGAUAUGGCACUUAGGGGACAGGAAACAAGAAUAAAAUAUGUCUCAAGACUGCCCCAUCCCCUAAUUUUUACUUUCAUGAGGAAGUACUAAAGAGGCCCAUGUGAGGCUAUCUUCUUCAAGUUCUGAUACUCCAGAUCUACGAGAGGUUGCAGGUCUGCUCUAUCACAGCAGCUAGAUCUACAAGGAAGAUGAGUCAGAUGAGGGAGAAUUUUCAGUGGCCUUAGGCCAGUGAGUACUUGAUGUCACUUUUCCUGGAGUGGGGGUGAACAGAACUGAGUUACUAAUUGGUGUCAUGGACUACAAGGCCCACAAGGUAGUAGUGUUGCCAAGAAUGGGGAUGGCUCAGUCAGUUAGUUGAAGAGCCAGAACUGUCAGGUUUUGAAGGACCAAGGUGUGUCCCUGGAAUGUACCAGAUGUUAAGUAUCCAUACUUUCAACUUCUCUGUGAAGGGUGAUUACAUGAUUUAGAUAAACCUCAUUUGUUGAGAGUGUUAUUGGCUAGAUUACAAUAAAUUCUAAAGGCCAUGAACAAAUUGAUGGGUGUGAAAUCAGGGCUGCAUGGGUUGACGGGUCUAAACCACAAGCCAUCUGAGCUAUGGCAGUCAAGAGGAACAUGAAAACUGAUAGCUGAUGGAAUAGUCUGGUUUGUCAGUGAAAUUCAUUCUUUCCAGGCCUUUGUGUAACCAGCUCUGACUGUAGCUGCAGCAGGAUCUCCAUGCAUGCCAGGGAACCAGUCUGGGUUCUGAAGUUUGGCCUUGAUUCCUUGAUUUGUCUUAGCAUCUCUCCUGGAGCUAUGAUGGCUAUUGGUUUGUUACUGAUGCUACAGGAGCUUUCCAGGGACUCAGCAAGGAACAUUGAGAAAUAGAGGGAAGAAAUGGUGUAAGAGCCAGAGGAUGAGAAGCCUGCAGUGAAAUAGAGCUUCCUAUAUAUGACAGGGAAGCUGCACCAAUGAGAACGUUACAGUGGCUGCCUGACCAACACCUGAACAAUGGCAACACCAAGUGACUUGCCAAUGUGGAUUUAGGAAAUCGCAUGGACCUCUACCCCAAGAGCUUUUCUCUGUGUAUAAAAUCUGGUUGUCCUGGAACUCACCAUGUAGACCCAGGAUAUCCUUGAGCUUAGAGAUCGACCUGUUCUUCCUAAAGGUUGUUAUCAAAGGCCACUCUGUUGCUGCUCUCAAUUUAUAAAACGAGAGGCAUUUGGACCAGGCUACUGUCUGUGCUCAAGAAGCAUUUGUUAAGGGGGAGAUAGCGCCGUCGUGAAAGUAAAACGCCUACUUGGAGAAAGUCCCAUAACUUCGUGGCCGAGAGAGCUUCUUAAAACCAACACAGAGAAAGAAAAAACAAAUGAUAAUAAUCUAGAAGACCGGAAAGAAAGGAAAAAAGCCCUAGACAUCUAGCAGAACAUGUCCAACUUGAUACCUCAGCACAUUUAUCUAGAGCCCUCAUUGACCUGGAUGAAGUAGAAAAGACUGAAUUGGAAGCUCGGUGCUCAAUGACUCUGUCCAUGUAGAUAAAUCAUCUCCUGUCAGUAGAAUGCAAGGCCCAUAGAAGAAACAAACAUUUACCUGGCCUAUUGUUCUUUACAUUGUGUUUCAGCCUCAGGAAGACUCAGGUGGAAUGGUGUUUAGACAUAAAUCUGUCUACAUGGCCUCCUUCUGCCAUUACCUGUCUAUUAUGCACAAUAAAAAUGUAACA
Mus musculus (house mouse) is the source of this 7284-nucleotide long non-coding RNA. RefSeq annotates it as predicted gene, 31588. The record is from RefSeq and is a predicted model, not a curated record. The transcript has 6 exons. NCBI's taxonomy places the organism in Eukaryota, Metazoa, Chordata, Mammalia, Rodentia, Muridae.